AUUGUUAUAUAUCACUUUUAAUAUAAAGGAAAUGUAAUUGCUUUAAUUUCCGUACAAUCCUGAUGGGAACAUAGCUAUAUUCAGAAAUUUGGGAAUAUCCCUGUGGGACCAAACCCUCUUGGAUUUGCCUCAAUGGAUUGCUCUCUGAUUCUGAUCUCAUUAGGUGGAGUAAAUUAAUUUUGUUUUGUAGUUGUUAAGUAGAUUUGUUCUAAUACUACAAUUUCUUGAUUAUAAUGUUGGGGUCAAGGUCAGGGUCAGUACAAUGGGAUUAGAGAAAUAAUAUUUAAUCCUGAUUUUUUUUCCUUUACUAGCACUUGUAAAUGAAUGCUGGAAAUAAUGUAACUCAUGGACAGUGGGGUUCAUUUUUGUCAGGGGAAAUUCUUGAGAAAAAUGGGUAAAUGUAAGAACAGAAGCUUUUGGCAAAUAAGGUGGGGAAAAUAUGAUACGUUUUGCCUUCUAAGCAAGAAAACGGAGUUCUAGAUGAUUCUUGAAUGAAUCAUAGUAUCUGAUCUCACAGUGUCUUUGGCAUGGCCGAACUGCUGGUUAGCCCUCGUUGGGUUUUUUUUAGAGUCAGGAUCCUGAGCAACGUCUCAAACUCACAAGAACAUAUCUUGGAUGUCAGAUACAAACUUGCUUUAGAAAUACCGAAUUUGUCUUGAGAACUGUGGUCAGCUACAUUCCCCUGAAAAAUUGCCUUCUGAGGAAUUGUGACAUUGCUUAGGAAAAAGUCACGUUCCAAGAGCAUGUGUUUCCCUUCUGGUUUAUUUCUGAAGGAAAGGUGAGCGCUUUCUUGGUGGGAGAGGAAACCCAGGGUUUUGUUUGGGCGAUGGCUCUCGCUGAGCUGGUUCUUUUCCUCACUACAGGAGGGACGCAGCGAGCCAGGCUUCAGGAGGUCAUGGGCUUGUUGGUGUGUGUAGGGACCGGGAGCUGUACUGUGAGCUGUUUAUUUACAUGGCUGUGCCUAAACUCAGACCAAGGUUUUUAGGAAAUCACAGUGAGCUAGAUAAACAACAAUUUGUAACACUGACUAUUUUUCUGCUGUUUCAGACAGCAGUUGUCAUGGUAAGGAAAGCCCAGGUGGUAGAGAGGAGGUGGGUGAGGUGCUCCCGGCCCCUCUGAGCUGGGUGAAAGCAAAAGAGAAAACAACUGCAGAAAAACCCAGCUCACGAGCAGGACUGUGCUAGUCCAGGGAGCACGUCUGGAGCCCCGAAUACAUUUUUUUUCCUGGAUUGCAUUUCAAACCUGAGCAUUAAUACAGAACAAAUAGAACCAUAUCAUAUAAUUCAGAGGACAACGGAAGUGGGAAACCCAUGAGAGGGAGCUCACCUGAAACCUUGGUGAGAGGUGCAGGCAGCUCGGAGCUGGAGCAACCAGGAGAGACCAGCAUGUUUGACACCAAUGAGCUAGAAGUGACCCUUGGAAGGGUUGAGAGUUUCAGCCUUUGUGCUUGAUGAAAUGGCAUUGAUGAAAUGGCAUCUCUGCCGGGGCAUGGUCAAAGUCUUUGUUGGUACAGCACAACCAGAAAUUACUUUCUUUUUCACCAAAGUUAAUUAAAGAGUGGUUUUGCACACUGUCAAUAAAUAAGUCAGUUUGAUCAGAUGGACUUAGGCAGUGUGUCAACAGACAGGUCAAGAGACAAAUCAGUGUGCUGCACCAGCAGAUAGCCAGAAAACCCAUUGCUCUGGCAAAAGUUUACAAAGUUGUGGUUUUUUUACUGUGUAAAUUUAUCUUACAACAUAGGUAGAUAUCCAUGUCUUCCCAAUUUGAAGACUGAUGAAGCACUUACCAGUACAGAAAGUUGAGUAUAAUUAAAUAUGCUCGUUAGUAGAUGAUGAAGUAUACAUUUAUACUUCUAGUACAUGUCAUCUUAGAAAGGGUACUAAAAAAAAAAGGCCACUUGAAUUGUUUGGGAGAUAUGGGGACAGUCUCUCUCAUUCUUGGUUGCCAUUCAUGGAUGUUGGGUAGGGCAGGAACAAGAGCGGACGUUGGGAAUCAGCUUCAAAAGUGAGCUUUCUGUGCCCAGCUGGGAGAACAAGCUGGGCAGGUGGGUCCUCUGCGCAGCUCUGGUUGGAUCAAGGGUAUAUGCGAAUAUCUGAGGGCAGAAUUUCACCUGCUGAUUUGUAGGAAUGGGCUGCAGUGACCCUGUUUGCAGUUGUGGAGAGCAGAAGCUGUUCCUGUUAUCGUAGUCCAGGAAGGGGCUCAAAGUGCAGAUCCCAAGGGGGUGUUCAGUGCUGGUGUUAGAGAACAAGUAUUCACCUUUUGAUAAGUUGAAGAUGAAAGUUAAUUAGUAUUAAGGACGUAUGCUUAUUGAUGCUUAUGCUUAUAUUACUAUUAUGUUACUAUUAGUAAAUACUGCAUUUAUUAAGACCUAGGGAACAAAUGACAAAAGCAGAGCUAUACCUGCAUUGUACUUUGGGAGAAUUUAGUCCUGCAAUGAAAAAAGUUGAACUUGUAGGUACAACUCCUUUCAUUUCACGUAAUAAAUACUCUGUUUACAUUAUUUAAAGUGUGAGUAUUUAGUAAAAGUCAGAGCACUGAGAAGUAUCGUUUCCUCAGUGAUCUUCCUGCUGCCCUAUUACAGAUGGUGUAAAAUCAGGUGUGUAAAACAAAAUAAAAAACGCAAGUAGUUGAGCUGACAUGAAAGGUAUUUCAGAUUUAUGUUUUGCAGAUGAUAUUGGUAUGAUUAAUGUAUUUAUUGCUCUUUUUUUUAUUGCUUCUCGCAGAUAAUGUUCAUGAUGCAUGGAAAAUUCUGUGGCUUUAAAAUCUAUGCCAGGUUUACAAAGUCUGUGUAUGUCAACAGAUGUUAAGAAUAUAAACACAACUUUUAUUAUGAAGUCGUGCAAAUGUGUAGACAUGAGCUUGGUUUAUGUAUAUUAUUUUCAGCAUGAGAAUGAAAUGAAACUUCUGUGAAACGAGUUAUUUAGAUUCCUGAAGCUUUCAGGCUGAGAUUAGCUCACUUAAAAGCGAUCAGCAAUGGGCUGCCUUUGUAAGGCUGACAAGCUAAUGACACUUCUGGCUUAUGGAAUUAGUUUGUAACCCAGAACUUGAAAAUGCUGGUGCUAUUUGUUAGUCUGAAGAUACAUUUUCAUGAAAAUGGGCUUUGGAGGUACAGUUCUCUGAAACAAACUGGAAACCAGCCUGGGGUCCCAGCCGGAAGCCCUUUGUUAGUUAUGUUGCUGUGGAUGCCCACCACGCACUGGUCCCAGCAUCCUGGACUGGGCAGUGUUGGUGCUGGGUGGUGGUUGCUGCUCUGUGUUCCCGUUGCCUUUAGUGUGAGACAAGCUUCUGAUGGGUGGAUGUUCUGAAUCUUGUAUGAAGUAUGAAAUACACCAAUGGUGGGAGAAAAAAAUGCAAAUGCAACUCAACUGCUUUGUCUGGAAGAGCUGUGCUGAUCACACCAAUGCAUCCAUCCCUCCUUACCUGCGCCUUGCGGUUGCCACAUGUUAUCACUGCUGUUGAACAGCAGGUAUUUAAAAUCAGAGUGUUUUACUUCCAGAACCCUCGCUUGGGUGUGCUUGCUCAAGAGCCCUGUGGUUGAGUUGCGUUCCCUGGGGAGCAUGUGCUUGGCAGAAACCUCUGACCAUGAGAAAGGUCUCGGAGAGCAGGUGGGCUCGGACCGCUCCACAGCAACUCUCGAGCCCUGCCACGUGUCUUGGUGCUGGUGUGCCUCCAUAAACCUCACAGCCACGUCAGGGACCUUGCAGCUAGCAAGGCUUUUGGGUGACUGUGUAGCAUCAAGAAGGCACACUCUUGUCCGUUCAUGUCUUUGUGCUACUGAAACAAAACGUUUCUCUUCCAGCUGUGGAGCAAGCCCUCUGCUUCCACUCUGCUUAAGCAAAAUUCAGAAUCAGGGUAGAGAGUCAAUUUAUGCCUCCAGACCAUGCCAGUAACUUGUCCCAAUUAUCAUUCUCCAAACUCAGAAAAGAAGCUGCAGAAACACUGGGAUUAUUGCUAGAAGCUGGUCAUAGAGGGAGGGAAGGGUUGCUGAGGACCUGGAUGUCCUGGCCUGUAUCUCAGGAAUUUCCUGGGCUUUUCUCGGCAUUUCAGCUCUCUUGCUUGAAGUCCAGGAAAAGAAAAUCAGACAGAGCAUGUUACGGUAGAUGCCUUUUUUUUCCCCCUCUCAUUGAAAUGUCAGUUAUUUUCCUUUUGCUGUAGGGAGACAUGCUCAGAUUUGCCCCUUUAAAUUGAUCAUCCUUGUUGUAAUAUCACAAUUACACAUCGGAAUGAAUUUGGUGGGAUAUGCACUGAAUACUCUUUAUUUGUUUUGAUGGUGGUACUUGGUGCCAGUCCCUGUAAUGUAAUCUGCGUCGAUACUCCCUUUCUCUACUCCCAGCGCGUUGCUUUGUCUUCUGCGUUGAUCAAAGAUUGGAAAAUUUGUUUUUAUAUACAUAGGCAGUGUAUUUCAUUGCAGCUUUAUGUACUUAAUCUUUUGGCUGUUUGGCUGAAAUACGUCCACGCCUUUUACGUAUUGAAAACAUAAUAUCCUUUAACCUACAAUCUGCAGAGCUAAAAUGAAUUUUAUGUUAAAUAUUUGGUUGUGGACCACAUCUCCAGCUUUUUAUAUGCCACAGUGGUCUUGUGGGUUUUUUUCUUCUCCAUUGUCUGAUAGUGAGGUCAUUUUCAGUCCUCUGAGAAAUUUUAUUCCCAACCAGAUGCGGGCCAUAUAUUAAAAGUAGCACCUGUGGCUAAUAUCACAGCAGCUUACCAUAAAUUUACAUGGUAACUAGGAUUAUAUCUGUCAAGACUGUUAAAAAAUGUCUAGCUUUAAUUUGAUUUCCAGUAUUGAAGGAGCUCUCCAACAUUUUGCUUCAUAACUAUAUUUUAAAAGUUAAAAUCACUCCAUUGUUAAGUUUUAUAGCACUCCCAGUGCCCAUUAAGUUGAUUUGUUAAAUGGGGGUCAGAAUAAAGCAAGUUGGCUACAGGAGGAUCGGAAACCAACCCAUUUGUGACAAAUUUAGUCCUUGCGUGUGAAUCUUCUCAGAGCCUGGGGACUGAUUGGAUUCAGGUGCAGCUUAUGUCAGUUGUGUUUAACCUCAAAGCCUGAGCAACCUCAGCCCCUGACUGUCACUUGUGCUAAUCAAAAGACGAACCUCUCUUCCUUCGUUAGCAGGGGAAUUGCUAUUUUUAAUGUAGUAUCGGUCCACUUGCUCCCUCUGCUAGAGUUUUGCAUUAGAUUGCCUGUCGAAUGAAAAUAGUUUGGUUUUUUUUUUCCAUCCUCCUAGGUAGGUGCUGGUUUUCAUAUAGUCUUUCCUAAACUGCUUCGUUUUCCAUUAUCCUUUGAGUCCUCUCCCAUAUGCUAUGAUUUGUGCACCUGCAAAGUUAUGAAAGUAUUUCUUUUGGUAGUUAUGUUGUUCACCAACUUCCCUGCGUUUAUGAAUACAAUAACCGAUUUGCAAUAAAUCAGAAUUAUUUAUGAGUGGAUUUACAGAGUUGAGAAAAAUCUUUGUAUCUGAAAAUAAUGAAUUUCUGGCCUAUCUGCCUGUUGACAUUUUCCUUUAUUAGAAACUGAUAGUGAAGCUUUCAGGACGGGCAGAGGUUAACCUGCAGGCUGAAAUGGAGCGAAUGAACUGGCUCAAGUGUCUUGGAGUGGAGCACAGUAAAAAUAUAUGAUUCCUGGAUGGUCACACCUUCCUUGAGUGUAUUCUUGUGAUUGACUGAGUAAAUAACACUCUUGCCUCUGAGUCGGUGGGUCGGAGGGUCAAGGUGCAGCUGCGGGACACAGUCCACGUGCCCGCACUGCUGCCUGGCACUGCUGGUGGAAGGCAGGGAGCUCGGGGUCUGGGUGAAAUGAAAGGUGACGUUCUGGGGAGAUGGAUUGUUUGAAAGCUUUACGAGUUUCCUUCCCUCGCUUUGGAGGAGGAGGAGAUGACACUGGUGCCCUGGUCAGUGUGUCCUGUUUCCAAUGAUGCUUCCAGUUACCUGGCAGCCAGCGGCAGGAAAUUGUGCCAAGCUGGGAAGUCCGUAGUGGUGGAAAUAUGUAAUCGGGUUGCGUCUAGGCAGGAAUUAAAUCCUUGGUGCUGGGAGUUCGGAAAUACAGGAUUUAUUUUCUUCUUGUGGCCAGUGUGGCUGGCAGGGUACAAAACCAUAUGUAAAGUCAGCCUGUGCUCCAGAAUAUUUUCAGACCAAUGUUUCGCCCUUGGCAAUGUUUUUCUGUUUUAAAUAGAGCUGCCUUAGUGCAUCAGCAGCCUCAUGUCUUUUAAAGUCCUUCACAAUUUAGCCUUUCCUUAUAUGUCUGGCAACUGUCAUUUUGUCCUUCAGUCCCUUCAUUACGACUUUACUGUUGUUAAUGCAUACGAGAGAUUCGUGCCUGAUAAAAGGCAGGUGAUGAGCAGCAAUUGCUCCUCUUCAUACUGUGGGGUAUCUUCUCUCCUCUUUGGCCAGGGGCUGUGUACAAAUCCCACCACCCUCGAGUCCCAUCUGCUUGUGGCAACUUGCAGUGCCGGUAUCAUCGUGGCAGUACCACCAGUAUUAGGCUGCCAGGUUUGUUUAAAAUGUCACAACAUUAAUCAUAUUUAAAUAAAAUUAAUCAUGUUUAAAUUGAAGACUCAGAGUGGGUGUUUGUCCUUCAUCUCUAGUGCAGGUGAAAUGUGAGAUGUCCCAUCCCAGGUGUCGUAGAAGUUGCAUCACUUUAAUUUUUCUUGUCACUUAACUAUAAUUAGGGAUGCUCAUUUUCUUCGUGAGCUAAGUCAUAUUUCUUCUUAGACUAAAUCAUUAUUAUAUUGUUUAUAAUUACUGGGGACGGUUGCAUUUCUAAUUGCUGACUUUGCCCCACCGAGUAGUCCUGUUGUAUCUCCAUUUAAGCAGGCCACUGCUUAAAUCUGCCCGGCUGACCUUUGGGCUGCUCUCCAGUUGGCUCUAAUACAAAUGCCUUCCUUAAAAGAUGGAUUUAUUAUCACUCAAGUAAAAAUUAUUACAGCGUUUGCCUUGUGCUUGUUGCAUGCAUUGAUCUGAAAGUGCAAAAGAAAUUAUUUGUCAAAAUGCCUUUUGGAUCUCACAAGCUGUCUUGUAGAUUUACAGUAGAAGAAGUGUUUCUCCUUUUUUUCAGCUGUACAAAUUGAUUGUUCACUCUGUUUGAAUUAAACAGAACAAAUGUUAUAUCAGCCACGCGAGCAAGGCUGCCGUACAUUCGUACCGAAUGAGAGCAAAUGUGACCAGGUCAACUUGAUUUUUAGCUACAGUUCGGUCUCUUUCCUUGUGAAACCACCUUUGGAGAAUGAAUGGAAAGUUCAGUGGUUUUGAAUUCAGUUGGACGCCUUCAUUUGGGAAAGUGCAGGUAAGACUGGUGUUGCCUUUCCUGAAAAAGAUGGCUGCUCAGAAGUUUUUUACCUUUUCAAUUAAGGAAACCUGGUGUCAUGCAACUCUUUAUGCAUUAAAAUUUAUUUUUAUGGGGGUGCUGGAAAGAUGUUGAUUAAAAGCAAACAGCACAUCUCCCUGUCUUGGUUGCUUAACAUUUUGCAUCCCCUUGCUUUUUGAAUAACGCCCGACUACGUUUUCAAACCAUUAAUUGCCUUUUACGCUAGCAGCUCUCACUUUCUCGUACUCCCAUGGAGGAGACACAGGCUUUGGGCUAUUAUCCUCUGCAACUGUAAUUGAAAAUGGACUCCGGCUGGCAGAAUAAACUAAAAUAAAACUCCAACGCCCCUAUUUAAAAAUUAACCAUUACUCACCAAAAGCACAUCAAACCCACUUAGCGGACAUCCGUUAAUCCCGCGGUGAGCCGUUUCAGGCUUUAAUGCACACUGUUUUACACGUUAAGGGUUUUGAAGUCGCGGGCCAGCGCUGACCUUUCGCAUCUGCUCCUCUCGCAGUAGGAAUCUCCGCUCGCCGCUCCCCGUCAGGGCGGAUUAACGUGACGAAGUGCAGCGCUUCUGCUGGCUGCAAUUUUGGGUUUUGAUCAGAAUUAUUUCUUUCACAAACAAUCACGUUUGGCUAAAAUGUUACAUCUGCUCUGAAAAGCCACUGGCAGGGCCGCAGUUUAUCGGGGUGAGGCGAGUGUAAUUUUUUUCAUUCCUCUUUUAUAAAGCUGCAAACCUGCUUCACGUCGUUUUUUUGGGAAAGAGCUUCUCUUCUUCCUCUUCCCCUUGCCCUUUUCUUCCUUUAAUUUUGUUGGGCUGAGAUGAAAAGUUGCUCUGGACAAACACAAAGCUGGCUGUGAUGUCUUGGAGGGGUUUGGUGGGGGAAUGCGCUGAUAAGUGGGGAGCCCUGUGCUGAGUCAGCACUGCACCAUUGGGUUUAUUUUGUGCUAAGGGUGCUUUGUAGGAAAACAUUUCCUACAAUCAGAGGGGAAAGUCCUGAUUUCAUGAUCUAGUGUGAUUUUCCUCAGGCUGUGAUGAGAAUAACAGUAGGCAGUUAAAUAUAUGUCUGUGUAUGACCAGGGUGUCCCUGGUUGGGAGAAUCUUUAUUCCGUGAUACAACGGGCAGGUGCUUGUAGCAAUCAAAAAUACUGUUGGCUGUACAAGCCCAGGACAUUGAGUUUAUGCAUUCAUCUUGUAAUGCCCAAUCUCGUAAAGAACCAAAGGGUUUCCCUCUAUGGUGUGCUUGUAUAAAUUUCUAAAAGAAAUUUGACCUUCACUGGAGGACUCAGAAUUAGUAUUUGCCUCCCCUUGUGAGCCCACCUCUCUGUUCCCAGGGGUACCGGUGUACAGACGGUGUGGGCUGCCCAGGGGAACCCUUGUGUCUUAGUAAAAAAACAACCAACAAGAAAAACAUAGAACCUCUCAAAAUAUUGUACAUCGUAUGUACUCUGCCACUUCCAGGCAUGCGCUUGGAGCAUGCGGAGGGGUCUGAAGACACUUGAAAAUGCUAAGUAUAGGUUGUUCAUCUGAAUUAUUGGCAGUUCAGUGGGCCUGGUUUUUAAUAAUGCAACUUAACGUGGCUGCCUUUGUCCUUUUCUUCAUGACCUGCUCCAGCCAUUCUUCCACCUACCAGAGACAGGGAUGAAGCAGGGUCUAGGUGACCUACAGAUCACAUAGGGAACAGUGGGCAUGGCAAACCAGGCAAGGUAACCAACUGCUCUGAGGUUGAAGGAUGCCCUGAAGAGAAACAUGUUGUCUGGGAAGAUGCUUGCUCUCUCCUGCUCUUUCUUCAAAUGAGCUGUCAUUUCUAGACUUGAAAUGUCUGUCUUCAAAAUAGUAUUUGAAUUUUAUAGUGCAAUAUAAAUGAAAAGCCUGCCAUUGCUGGCCCAGGUAAGUCUCCUGCUGAGUUUGCUGUCCCAAUGUAUCACCUACAUUCUUCUACUAUAAGAGAUGUCCAAACAUGAAGGCCCAUUCUGACAACAGAGCAGGAUGCUUUCAGCCGCUCAGUUGAGUGAAAUGAUUCCCUGACUGGAUCCACAGUAAAUGUUCCUCAGUUUGCUUUAUUUCAUGGCAUUAGGUCUUUUUAGAUUCUGGCUUGGCCAAGAGGGUGAUCGGAAGACCUCUUCAAAUUCCUCACACCUCCAUCGUGAUUUCUCUGUCGCAUGUUUGAAUUUUUGACCUUGUCUUUAAAAACAAACAAACCAAAACAAAAAAACCUGACAGUAUAGUGAGUAGGAGGAUGGUGGAAGAUGAAAUGGCCAUGAGACCAGCCACUUCUUCUCUUAAUCUACCAUAAAGCAGUACCUUUCUUAUCACUCUUUGAUGUUUUCUUAGAAUCAUAAAUUGCAGAGAUUUAGAGGAUUAUCAGAGCAGGAUACGAUUGCCCUUGGAUACUCAGCAGAGAAGAUUUUGGAUAUUAAACUGGUAGUAUGUGUAAUCUUGGCCAAAAGACCAAGGAAAAUUCCAUCUGAGCGCUCUCUAUGUUAUCAACAGCGUGUAUGGCAUGUGAACUUCAUUUUCAUGUCUGCAGAAUGAAAUCAUUCCUUCGCAUACAAGUAAGAAGAAACAUGGGGGGAAACCAGUAGUAUUUUGUUCUGCUGUAGCCAGGUCUGUUCCACUGAAAAUGUGGUGCAACGGGAUAACAAACUUCUCUAGUUCUACGCUGAGGCCAAGCUCUAUAAAAGUCAGAGGAUUUGAGCACCUUUUUGAAGGAGCAUUCACAUAAAUUAAUUCUUAUUUGGUCUGUUUUACAGCGCCUUCAUGUCAUGGGCUGGCACCGUUUAUUGCCCAAGCGGCAGCAUCUUUGUUCAGCAUGAAGGUCACCGGGGAGCAGAGUGCCUUAGUGGAGGGUUCAGGUGCCUGAAUUUAAAGGGUUGGAACUGGGGACUAACUGCACCUUGUUACUAGUUUAUUUUUAUAGUGGUUUGUGUGAUGGCUUUAUUACAGUACAGCCAGGAGCUUAAUUUGCUGGGCCAAACAUUUGCUUUAACAAGUAAAAUUAUCAUUGUCCUUUCAGUUAUGCGGCCAAGAGUGUUUGUUAUUUUAAGUGACUGAUUGCUUUAGCAGGUGCUCGGUUAAUGGAGGUUUCGCUGUGUUAUUUAAUGUUUUUAGGUAGGGUGCAAAAAGUUCAUUUUAAAAAGUCAUGUUUCUUGGAAUAGCCAUUUUAUUUGGUGUAAACCUCCUAAGUGCAACCUUUAUAUUCCAUUUUUUGAGCACAAAGCACACAAAAAUAGUUUGGGAGGUGGAGAGUCACAUUUAGCUGACUACGUGGCUGGAGGAUUUCUUCCAUGUUCUGGUUCAGUCCUGAAACCUGGGAUCAUUUUCCUUUUUUUUUUUCCUCUAAAAUCUAAUAUAGAGAUCUAAAUUUUUUAAUAAAUAAUAUUUAUGAGGCUACAUUUACCUAGAGUGCUAAGGAACUGGCACUGGGGUGGGGGGACCAUUUAUUUAGAGUAUUUCUAUAUGAAGUGAUGUAUCGCAAAUAUCAUGGGACCUUCUUGAUGGUUUGGUUGGGAUUUAGGAUGUCUGCUUAUUUAUGGGCAACUAUAAUUAUUGUUAUCUACCUAUAAGCAAAUGAAUGUAUUUUGUAAUAAGGUUAUAUUGACCCAGUGGCGUCUAGGCUUGAAAUUUUAUCACUCAAAAAGAAGUUUUUAUGCUGCUUUAAGGCAUCUCUAUGUUCUCUCACUUCCACUCCAUCAAGUUUAUAUAUCUUUUUGGUGGAAUAGGUGAUCAAUUUUGGCGUGAAGUCUGUUCAUUGAAUCACCGAGCAUAUUAUCUGCUUUCUGUUCAUGAAAUCCAGGUGCAAUCGCUUACAGUAAUAAAAAUGAGAAUAGGAAAAACGAUCUGAGGCUGCUGGAAAAGUCAAGAUGUGCCGGGGAAGAAGAUUGCAUGUGAGGGUAUUUCACACACGUGGCGAGUGCGAGGGAAGAGGAAAGCAAAGCAAAACCAAGACUGUAAGAGCAGGUCAGUGCUCUCUACCUUCCUCUUAGUCCCUCUUCUUGCAUUGAUCCUCGGAUCCCUUGGCCUUAGCAGAAAUAUUUGUAUUUGGGUUUUGGACUAGUUGAAUUUCAAGUGAGGCAAAUUACGCUUGCACCUGCUUUAUGACAAAGCGAUGUCAUAGCUUAGGUCACUGCUGAGCUUGCGAGACGAAGCCUUUGACUCAAACCUCUUCUGGAGAGCUGCAUCUCAAGCAUCACCAGGUCCAUGUCACGUCGAGUGCUGCACCUGGUCUCGAUUGUGCCGAGCGAGUGUAAACUUCCGAGCGGCUUGGGCUUUUCCUGGGACAGCAUUCCUGAAAUUGCCUUCUGUCAUCUCUGCAGCUCUUGACAUUGUACCGGUACCUGUGUGAGAAAUGUCCCCAUUGAGGAAAGGCCAUGCCUCCGAGCUCCGCUUCUCUUUGCCUCCAUUUAUUCUUCAUGUUCUUCAAAUUGGUAAAUCAUAUGACAAUAAACAGAAAUACCCUCAAUGAAGAGAGAAGGGGAAACUGUUGUUUAUCUGGUCAGGUGGUUUAGAUUAGCGGUGAUGCUGGUCUGUAUUAUGUUACUUUAAAUCAUAGUGUCCCAACAGGACAUAAAUUAUGAAGAUUGUUACAGUAUGUUUCAUCCAAUGUAAGAUCAACAAAUUGGAAUAAUUUUUUUUAUAGGAAAAUCAGUGCUUUGGCAAGGUUAUUGUUGAAGAAUUUAAUUUAACUUGAGCUUUGCUUGCAUUAUUUCUUAAUAUAUAAAAACUAUUUGCAUAAUGUAUGAAGUAUAAACAUUUUUAGAAUCAAAGGCAAGAAUGCCUUUUCCAAGAUUACACAGAGUGGCAAACUACUUAGAAUAGAUCAGUGUUUGUGCUUUUGCUGUCAAAAAUGUUUGAUAUAGAGCUGGCGAGCUAGUUUCUUCACCGACAUAAUUGUAAACAAGUGUUGGGAGACAGAAACAGCGUUCUUUGUAGAACAUGGUGUAAAGGUUUUCACGUACCCUGCUGCAGAUCUAACAUGGAGAGCAGUGUUUACAGCUAUAAUAGGAAUAUAAAUAGGUAACUUUUUUUAGAGAGCAAAGCAGCAUUUCACUUUCGGACAAAUGAUGUGUGCAGAUAAGUAUGGGGGAUGCGAGCAGUCUGCUCUGGAUUUUAAAAGGAUAUGGUAAACGCAGAAAAGUGUAGACAAUUAAGUUGGAAAUUGUGGGGUGUUUUUUUUUUAGUUUCACAUUUCGUUAUGAAGACAGAAAUGGCGUCUCAGUACAUGCCAGUAUGUCUGUAGUAUCCCUCUUCCAUCCUUUCUCUUUACUGGUGUCUUUCAGAGUUAGGAGGACUGCUUUCCCCAAUCCUGAGCGGUGCUUGGGGAAUGGGAAGGUUGGCUGCACUCAUGAUGUUCUCUUGCUCAAGCUGUUAAAGAGGAGUAAAAAAAAAAAGUCUCUACCUAUGAUUUGUAGGUGUUGUUCACCUUCAGGAUGGCAGAGUGCUGUCUUGAGGUGGGAUGGAGGGAGUAGGGAAAUGCGGGCACAACGCCUGAGCCAGCUUGUCCAUUGCUUGCACUCACUGGAGAGAUGGGGACAUGAGUAAUUGGAGUUCAGCUCUAUUUUGGGCCUUGGUUUAGUUGUGCUCUGAAGGACUGUCCCACUGUUUCUGGAAUGGUAUUAAAAAGGGGAAGAGCAAUGGGAAGGUGUUCCCCUGGUUUAUGUCCUGGAUGAAUCCAGACAGGGCCAAAAAGAAGAAGAAAAGAGGAAAAAAUCUAAUGUCACAUGGAUCCAGUGUCCCUGGGGUGGUUCAGGCAGGAUGAUGAUGCCCACAGGAAAGAAGCCCAAAAUGAGCACGUGGUUUUGAGAACGAACACCUGUCCUCCUGUGCUGCCAUCACCUUCCUAAAUACCAGUUGGAUUCCUCUUUUUUUGUGUUUUAACCAUGUUGUCACUUUCAGAUGAAGAGCAUGGCCUUGUGAGAUGACUUUUGUGUAUUUGUAAGGUUAAAGUAUUUCUUAAUGGAGUAAAUAGAAUUAAAAUAAAACAAACCCUGGAUUUUUCUUGACAGAACAACAGAAAAUGUCAUGAGAUUAGGUCAAACCCUCAUGACUAGCUAAACAUAACUUAAAAUAGCUCGAUAUUAAAGAGCUUUUUCCUUUAAUCUGCUGGCUCACUGUUAGGUAGUAACGUCAGCUGGAUGCAUGAAAGCUUCUGCAGUUUGGAAGUGAACCUGAAUGGUUCGAGUUUAUUGUUACAAGUGUCAAACUGCUGAGGGGAACACGUGCUAUACACUGUGCACAAGGGUAUUUUUCACUUGGGUGAAUGGAAAGCAAAUGUGUGAAAGCAUAUCUCUUGCCUUGUAUGACAGUGUCGCUAUAACUUGUUUUAUUUAUUCACUUCCCAUUGAUAAAUUAUACAGAUGCAUCCCAGGUGGGUGGGGAAGGGAAGACAGGUAGCCCUUGCACUGCAGAAGGUCAAGGUUAAUGCUACCUCCAAUGCUAUAAUGACAGAUGGGAGGCAGAAACCUUAAUGUACUUGUGAUUAGCAUAUGGUUUCCUUGGCUGAGUGUCCGAAGGAUUUAAGCAGCCCGGGUACGCUCUUCAUAGCGUACGCAUUUUAAAACAAACAAAUAAAAAGUGUGUAUGGUUGUAUUGUUGAGCCUUUCAGCUGUUUUUCUUGAAUAACUCCACUUCUGAGUCAAGUACCGUCAGCUGCUUUGUUCUGGAGAUGCACUGGGGUAAUCCAUCACUGGGGACUCGCGGGUGGGUGAUGUAUUAGCAUGACAUAUCGACCUGUGUUGCUUUGAUGUAUAACUCAUCAAGAUAAUGUUGGCAAGCAUUGUACAAAAGCAGCAUGUUUAAAAAGUAUUAAGAUGAAUUGAUUCCUUGCUUAAGAAGUGCGAAAGGAAGAAUAAUAGCAGAUUAGCUCCAGGAUGCCGUGGUUCUCCUGGAGCCAUGCAGCGUUGUGUGGUGCAGAGGGGCGGAUGGAAUUUCAUCUUUCCUCCCACUUCUGACAGCAAAGUGUCUGGCCCUGGUUUUCCCAUUCUCAGGCAACAAAAGUCACAUUAAAUCUUAUUUUGUGAUUGCUUAUUUUGUCACUUUUGAAAGCGGUUUGGCCAGUCCCAAAACAUUAUACAAUAGCUGAAUUUUUUAAAGAUUUUUUUUGUUUGUUUUGGUUUUGGUUUUUUUUUCUUUGUUAGGUUAACUUGUUCUUCUAAGAGCAGCCCUGAUUUUUAUCUCAUGGAGAUGUACUGUGGCUGGUAGUAUUUAAAAACCAUUUUAGAAGAGAUGUUACAACUGAAAAACCAUUAGUUGUUAACACCUUCUUUCACGAUAUUAAAAGACACGAAGGGAAAAGACGUACAGGUGCACCCAAGGCAUCUCCUUGUCUGUGCAGAAUUGCUUCGCUCCUUCCUUGUCCUGGUGCUGUUUGUGGUUCAUCACAGGGAUUUGGCAGUCUGCCGUGACUUGGGUGAUGUGAUGCAUCUAUUUAGAAUAACCUGUAUGCCGGGAUGUUAUUUUAGCCCAAAUGUCCUAAAAAGAUUAGGUUGAAAAUGUCUGCCUAAUAUGCCUGUUACUGAAAUAUCAGAAUACUUUACACUUAUUUAGUACAUCAAAGUGUCUUUUCAUACUUUGUAAUGGCUUCUAGAAAAUGCUCAAGUCCUGUCUUUCUCCUCUCUUUAUUUUUCAAGGAAAAACCUGAAAAAGUUCCCAUUAGGGGCCAGGGGGCUGCAGAACUCUGUUAUUAAUAUAGCGAAAGUCAAGACUGUGUUGGAUCUUACUGUCAUGAGUAAAGUACUUGCCCCACUUUCAUCAAGAAAUGUGUGAUGGUCUGAUAAACUCUGCCUACCAGUGCAGUCUUGACAAUGAUCUUGCACUGCAGACUGCUUAAUAAUUUUCAUUAUUUUUAAUUAAAGUUGAAGAAAUGCAGACUCCUGGUCAAAUUAAGGUUGGUUGUGUUGCCGGAAUGUGGUAAUUACUUUAAUUGAUCACAAGAUAGUUUCCUUGAUCACCAAUUAGACCAAAUUACCGAUCAAGUUUCAAGACGUGAAGAAAUGUCCAAACUGAUUUUAUGUAAUAGUGUUUUCAUAUCUAAUCAAACCUAAAUAUCUUUUCCUUCCAGAGCCAAUUGUAUUUUCCCAAAGAAAGGUUACGGCUCUACAAAUAUAAAGGUGAUUCAUAAACAAUAGCGUUCUAAUUCACUUAAUUAGCAGAGGAAGUAUUUAGGACCUUAAUGGAGAUUGCGCUGUUGAAAUUGCUCAGUAGAACUGUAGCUCAUUUUCUUAGUGGGAGAUACUUUUUUGCGUAUAAUUAAAAUAAACUAAAAUGCAAGAAGUUGCUUUGAGUAAUGUGCAAUGAGGGAGAACGUCUCUGAGCGGAGCGGGGCAUGGAGGAAGGCGGGCAUGUCUGGUAGGUGUGCAUGCUUCGUCCUUCGCUGUUACACCGCACUGUAAUCACCCCGGCUGGGACAGCCGUGGUCAGCUGGAGCAACGAGCAGCAGGACCUGUCCUGGGGAGGGUCCUCUGCGCCAGAAUGAGUUCUUUUUCGUGACUUGGACAGCCCCAGGUUGAGCACUCUUCGGGAAGAUGAACAGUGUUAAGACCAAGGACUGUUCUGUCCAGCUGGAGACUUUGUACCGUCGGUGGGGGAAGAGGCAGUGGGUUGGCGUGGUGGUACUGACUGGGGGGAUUUGUCGUCUCAAAGCCUGGAGGAAGGUCUGCAGAGCAGAUUAAUUUAGUAGAUGCAUUUGCUUGCAGAGUUCGCUCUGUCUGCCUUCCAUCAGAGCGAUGAUUAUUGUCAUACUAUCAAUGACUUGGGCCUGUGUAGUGUCACCUGUGUAUAUACGUAGGUGGGUGAGUUCCUGGGAUGGACAGACAGACACUGGUAGAGCAUACACGAACCUGGUAGGGUUUUCAUAAAUUUAAUGUAUUUUUCCCUUGCUGCUCAUUUGCACAAAGGCAAUCCAGUUACAGAUGCAAUUGCUGUUUUAAGCUUGUGGGGACAUUUCUGUGUGUAGGUUGGUGUGUUGGAAAUAACAUUCCUAUUAAGCCCAUGGACACUCUAAAACAUAUAAAUCAAAUAUCUUUCAGAACUCUCAAUGCAGAAGAGUUCCAAAUCAUUGCUAACAUCUAAUGCACAACUUGCAGCUUUCCGCUUCAAAGAGUGUGGCUGAAACAUUUGCAAAUUUUUAGAAGUAAUUGCUCACUGGAAGUAAAACUAAACCAAGCAAGAGCUUCAAGGGAAGUUAGAUUUUCCCAAAUUUGGGAAUGCUCUUGGGUCAAAGAAAAAAGCUUUUUAAUUGCUGACAGUUUGGUGAUUUCCAAAUGACAAACCUCAUUGGAAUGAUUUUCUCUGAUUAUAACGUUUGCAUUCAUUUGACUGGCAAAGCGACUAACAAAGUCAUACUUCAUCCAGGCACCGAUCCUUUUUUUACUUAAAGGCUUUUGUAAUUUGUGAGAGGAAAAAAGACUGAAACUAUUAUCAACCAUUAUAUGUUAUUCAUUGACCACAUGUUUGUUUGAAAUGGCCAUCGCUUGGUGGAAUGCGGGCCAUGUACAUUCUCUUCCAUAAAUUAGCACUAAAAAACUACCUAAGUCAGGUAGGGUUUUGUUGAGCUUGUUGUACUAUAAUAUGAACCAGGCUAUAACGUGGAUGUUACUUUUGCUUUGCAUGUUAAUUCAGGUCCUGAACGCCGAUGGAUGGAGCUCGGUAUGAACAAAGCCUCCUGACUUAGAGGCGUUCUGCUCACGCACUGAGGCCCUUCGGGCCCCGCUGUGUAAUUGCGUUCUUGAUUUACAUGGACAUUCUAAUUUUCUUUAUAACGUAGUGAUUUGCUCCUAAGUAUUUUGGCAAGGGCCUGCUAUUAUUUUCUUCUUGAGCCUGUGAUAAAACCUGCGUCCCAGGGGGACGUGCUGGGGAGAAUAGAGAGGCAGAGGAUUGGGAAACCUAUUUUAACUCAUUUUAAGGGAAAAUAUUUUCUCAUAAAGCAAGGGGCAAACCCACCUGUCGCCUCUCUCCCCCCGGUAAAAUAAAUAACAAAAUUGUUAUGUGAAAGGAUGUGUUUCUGGAAUUGGUAUCUGUCUAGUACAGGAAUACUGGGCCAUGAUGCUUCAUUAGAAACGGCAGGUUUCUAAGAUGCAGUAAGGGAUGAGGGGUUUGGAAAGGAUGUUUUAAAUUGCUGUUGGAUGCCAAAGGUAAAAUCAUUGCUCUCUUGCAAUGGCUUUGAAUCCUGCAGUAAGUAACACUGAGGAGAGUGAUUUACUGGGGUCUGAAGGGGAUGAUUUCAGCAGUGUCCGGAAAUGCAUCGGCAGCAUGAGAAGGUGAAAGGCUCCUCGAACACACACAAGCCCGAGGUGCAGAGAUCUGCAGCAUCUCUACAAGUUUUUAAGAUUUUGGAGUGAGUCUUGCAGAUCCCCUGCCAGUCCUGGCAGGUGGAGGAGUAUUUUCUUCUUUGCUCUUUCUCU
Phalacrocorax carbo (great cormorant) is the source of this 17695-nucleotide non-coding RNA. NCBI's taxonomy places the organism in Eukaryota, Metazoa, Chordata, Aves, Suliformes, Phalacrocoracidae. The record is from RefSeq and is a predicted model, not a curated record.